AGUGAACGCUGGCGGUAGGCCUAACACAUGCAAGUCGAACGGCAGCACAGUAAGAGCUUGCUCUUACGGGUGGCGAGUGGCGGACGGGUGGGGAAUACAUCGGAAUCUACUUUUUCGUGGGGGAUAACGUAGGGAAACUUACGCUAAUACCGCAUACGACCUACGGGUGAAAGCAGGGGAUCUUCGGACCUUGCGCGAUUGAAUGAGCCGAUGUCGGAUUAGCUAGUUGGCGGGGUAAAGGCCCACCAAGGCGACGAUCCGUAGCUGGUCUGAGAGGAUGAACAGCCACACUGGAACUGAGACACGGUCCAGACUCCUACGGGAGGCAGCAGUUGGGAAUAUUGGACAAUAGGCGCAAGCCUGAUCCAGCCAUACCGCGUGGGUGAAGAAGGCCUUCGGGUUUUAAAACCCUUUUGUUGGGAAAGAAAAGCAGCAGGUUAAUACCCCGCUGUUCUGACGGUACCCAAAGAAUAAGCACCGGCUAACUUCGUG
This 492-nucleotide ribosomal RNA is filed under the name uncultured bacterium. Its description in RNAcentral is "partial 16S ribosomal RNA". It matches the Rfam family "Bacterial small subunit ribosomal RNA", at positions 29 to 507 of the family's 1533-position model. The record is from RNAcentral.